AAAUAUAACCCAUUAAAUAAUGGUGUUUUGGCCAUUAAUUGAUGCUUAUUUCUUUAUUUGAGCAACCACUAAAUAGAGGCGUCUUGGCCACUAAUGGCAGCUCAUUGCAUUAUUAAAGCAAUCCACUAAUUACAAUGCUCUGUUUUUUACCCGUUUUAAGCGGUUGCAAAUUGAAGUCUAUAUUUUGAGAUCGUUCUUUAAAUGCUACCAAAAGCAGAGGAACCAACACAAUAAUAAGUAUAAUCAAAAUCAUAAGCCUUUUAUUCCAAUGAAAUUAUUCAUUACUAAUCAAAUAGUCAAUACAAUAAAUUAAUAAUAAUAAAUUCAAUACAAUAUACAAUCACUCAAUAAAUGAUCAAAAACCAAUGUAACUCACAUCUUCAUAAUAGCAAGAAGAGAAAUAAUAAGAGAGAAUACAACAGCAACACCGGAAACUGGCGUCGAGAAGGCGGCUCCGGUGUCCAUUGGGGGGGCAGGCGCCAAUGCACUGCCCUGAGCUGAUACAGUGGUGGCUACUGAGACUACAACGGCAACAAAAAUGAUCAUAAUAGCCUUGGAGGAGCAAAGUUUUGCCAUAUCUAAAAACUAAUUAACAAAUAGAUGAUAAAUUGGUUUAGGAAAAUUUCUUGAACUGUUGUAGCGAUAUAACAUUUCGGGUGGGGUGUAUAUAUAAUAGGAAUGUGGUAGACCUAAGAAAUUAAGUGG
This 705-nucleotide long non-coding RNA is filed under the name Durio zibethinus. RNAcentral's name for it is "long non-coding RNA (DZIB_LNC000848)". The record is from RNAcentral. Lineage: Eukaryota; Viridiplantae; Streptophyta; Magnoliopsida; Malvales; Malvaceae.